AGAAUCAACGCUGGCGGCGUGCCUAACACAUGCAAGUCGAACGAGAAAGUGGAGCAAUCCAUGAGUACAGUGGCGACCGGGUGAGUAACACGUGACUAACCUACCCUCGAGUGGGGAAUAAACUCCGGGAAACCGGAGCUAAUACCGCAUAACAUCGCAAGAUCAAAGCCGAAAGGCGCUUGAGGAGGGGGUCGCGGCUGAUUAGCUAGUUGGCGGGGUAAUGGCCCACCAAGGCUUAGAUCGGUA
RNAcentral lists this ribosomal RNA (246 nucleotides) under uncultured bacterium. RNAcentral describes it as "partial small subunit ribosomal RNA". It matches the Rfam family "Bacterial small subunit ribosomal RNA", at positions 26 to 285 of the family's 1533-position model. The record is from RNAcentral.